RNAcentral lists this ribosomal RNA (508 nucleotides) under uncultured bacterium. RNAcentral describes it as "bacterial SSU rRNA". It matches the Rfam family "Bacterial small subunit ribosomal RNA", at positions 19 to 518 of the family's 1533-position model. The record is from RNAcentral.
AUGGCUCAGGAUGAACGCUAGCGACAGGCUAACACAUGCAAGUCGAGGGGCGAUCACGGGAGUAGCAAUACAACUGGUGGCGACCGGCGCACGGGUGAGUAACGCGUAUGCAACCUACCUAUCAGAGGGGAAUAACCCGGCGAAAGUCGGACUAAUACCGCAUAAAACAGGGGCACCGCAUGGUGAUAUUUGUUAAAGAAAUUCGCUGAUAGAUGGGCAUGCGUUCCAUUAGGUAGUUGGUGAGGUAACGGCUCACCAAGCCGACGAUGGAUAGGGGAACUGAGAGGUUGGUCCCCCACACUGGUACUGAGACACGGACCAGACUCCUACGGGAGGCAGCAGUGAGGAAUAUUGGUCAAUGGGCGGGAGCCUGAACCAGCCAAGUCGCGUGAAGGAAGAAGGAUCUAUGGUUCGUAAACUUCUUUUGCAGGGGAAUAAAGUGCAGGACGUGUCCUGUUUUGUAUGUACCCUGAGAAUAAGGAUCGGCUAACUCCGUGCCAGCCGCCGC